Molecule: ribosomal RNA, 305 nt
Filed under: Bifidobacterium longum
Lineage: Bacteria; Bacillati; Actinomycetota; Actinomycetes; Bifidobacteriales; Bifidobacteriaceae
Description: bacterial SSU rRNA
Rfam family: Bacterial small subunit ribosomal RNA
Source: RNAcentral
UAUGCAGUCGACGGGAUCCACCGGGCUUUGCUUGGUGGUGAGAGUGGCGAACGGGUGAGUAAUGCGUGACCGACCUGCCCCAUACACCGGAAUAGCUCCUGGAAACGGGUGGUAAUGCCGGAUGCUCCAGUUGAUCGCAUGGUCUUCUGGGAAAGCUUUCGCGGUAUGGGAUGGGGUCGCGUCCUAUCAGCUUGACGGCGGGGUAACGGCCCACCGUGGCUUCGACGGGUAGCCGGCCUGAGAGGGCGACCGGCCACAUUGGGACUGAGAUACGGCCCAGACUCCUACGGGAGGCAGCAGUAGGA